UUUGCAGUCCCUAGAUUUAUCUAAUGGAACAUUUUUCAUUUUUGUUUAUGGAAUAAAAUAAAGUAGGAUAUAUUGUCAUGUGAACCUUAAUCUAGUGUUCUUUUUAUGCUGAACUUAUUUGGAUGUAAGUAUGUGAGAUGAUAUCAGGAGGUGCAAAAUGCUUACCUUCGAGCCUAAAACUGCUUUAAGAGAAUAUGACUUGAA
Molecule: unclassified non-coding RNA, 204 nt
Filed under: Hevea brasiliensis (rubber tree)
Lineage: Eukaryota; Viridiplantae; Streptophyta; Magnoliopsida; Malpighiales; Euphorbiaceae
Source: RNAcentral